GGGGAAUUAGCUCAGCUGGGAGAGCACCUGCUUUGCACGCAGGGGGUCAAGGGUUCGAUUCCCUUAUUCUCCACCA
This 76-nucleotide transfer RNA is filed under the name [Eubacterium] infirmum. RNAcentral's name for it is "tRNA-Ala(tgc)". It matches the Rfam family "tRNA". Rfam says of the family: Transfer RNA (tRNA) molecules are approximately 80 nucleotides in length. Lineage: Bacteria; Bacillati; Bacillota; Clostridia; Peptostreptococcales; Anaerovoracaceae. RNAcentral also lists the same sequence under 11 other names. The record is from RNAcentral.